Molecule: ribosomal RNA, 505 nt
Filed under: uncultured bacterium
Lineage: Bacteria
Description: partial 16S ribosomal RNA
Rfam family: Bacterial small subunit ribosomal RNA
Source: RNAcentral
GACGAACGCUGGCGGCGUGCCUAAUACAUGCAAGUAGAACGCACAGUUUAUACCGUAGCUUGCUACACCAUAGACUGUGAGUUGCGAACGGGUGAGUAACGCGUAGGUAACCCGCCUGGUAGCGGGGGAUAACUAUUGGAAACGAUAGCUAAUACCGCAUAAUAUUGAUUAUUGCAUGAUAAUUGAUUGAAAGAUGCUAUUGCAUCACUACCAGAUGGACCUGCGUUGUAUUAGCUAGUAGGUGAGGUAACGGCUCACCUAGGCGACGAUACAUAGCCGACCUGAGAGGGUGAUCGGCCACACUGGGACUGAGACACGGCCCAGACUCCUACGGGAGGCAGCAGUAGGGAAUCUUCGGCAAUGGACGAAAGUCUGACCGAGCAACGCCGCGUGAGUGAAGAAGGUUUUCGGAUCGUAAAGCUCUGUUGUAAGAGAAGAACGGGUGUGAGAGUGGAAAGUUCACACUGUGACGGUAUCUUACCAGAAAGGGACGGCUAACUACGUG